This 71-nucleotide transfer RNA is filed under the name Sarsia tubulosa. RNAcentral's name for it is "tRNA-Met". It matches the Rfam family "tRNA". From Rfam's summary of the family: Transfer RNA (tRNA) molecules are approximately 80 nucleotides in length. Lineage: Eukaryota; Metazoa; Cnidaria; Hydrozoa; Anthoathecata; Corynidae. The record is from RNAcentral.
UGUAAGAUAGACUAAUGGUAAGUCAUUAGGCUCAUAACCUAAUAAUAAGAGUUCGAUUCUCUUUCUUACUU